Molecule: ribosomal RNA, 475 nt
Filed under: uncultured bacterium
Lineage: Bacteria
Description: bacterial SSU rRNA
Rfam family: Bacterial small subunit ribosomal RNA
Source: RNAcentral
GAUGAACGCUAGCUACAGGCUUAACACAUGCAAGUCGAGGGGCAGCGGGGUUGAAGCUUGCUUCAACCGCCGGCGACCGGCGCACGGGUGAGUAACACGUAUCCAACCUGCCGAUAACUCCGGGAUAGCCUUUCGAAAGAAAGAUUAAUACCGGAUGGCAUAGUUUUCCCGCAUGGAAUAACUAUUAAAGAAUUUCGGUUAUCGAUGGGGAUGCGUUCCAUUAGGCAGUUGGCGGGGUAACGGCCCACCAAACCGACGAUGGAUAGGGGUUCUGAGAGGAAGGUCCCCCACAUUGGAACUGAGACACGGUCCAAACUCCUACGGGAGGCAGCAGUGAGGAAUAUUGGUCAAUGGACGAGAGUCUGAACCAGCCAAGUAGCGUGAAGGAUGACUGCCCUAUGGGUUGUAAACUUCUUUUAUACGGGAAUAAAGUUAGCCACGUGUGGUUUUUUGCAUGUACCGUAUGAAUAAGGAU